CGAACCGCAUUGUCCAUCUAUGACUGUUAUGAAAUUCAUUUCCGCUUUGGGAGGAAGAAACGAGCGGCAGCAAGUACAAUUGCUAGGUGCGCCAUGACACGUGACAUGACACGAGGGUUAAUUGAAGAGGGAAAAAAUUAAUUGUUAAUAAACAAUCAGUUACUAGAGGGAAAAAUCGCCGAGGACGACAUUGGUCGUUUCUGGAAACCUUCCAAAUUUAACCGGUCCCCAGGAUCAACCAACGGUCAUUCCAAUUCCACUGCUAUCACUUCUGGCGGCCGAGCCCCCAGAAGACGGGGACAGCGAGGCGUCAUCAUUAACCGGUACUCCAAGCACUGUAAUCAGCGGCAGUCGGAAGAGGAAGCAACGCUCCCCCAUCGAAAAUUGCAAAGAAAACAAUGCAAGAAACACGACGUAGAAAGAAAGUUUCUUGUCGUAUCCAAGAAAUUGGCACCAGUUGACGUUUUAAAGGUAGAACUUUUGUUGCUGGGAUUAUUACCAGAACGUGUCUAAUAUGUGGACAAUUUUUAAGACACGAUUUAAUUUUUUUCUGAGUCGUGAUUUUGAUUUAUUAAUGUAUUUAAACAUUAAACUCUCGUAAUUCUCAUGGAGAGAAAUAGUUCAGGAUGGUAUACUCGAACACUGCACAGUCUUCAAUUCUGUAUGCUGUAGUCCCUCGGUCUGUGAUUUGAUCUUUGUCAGUGGAGAUGAGAUGGAGACGGAUACUGACACGCACCUGGAUGAGGAGUUGGAAGAAGAUAAGCUCUGGGAAGAAGAUUUCCUGCAAACUUUCCAGCACCAAGAAGAACAUUGUACAGUGAGGAUGAGGGGGUGAAGAAUUUGAAUGCGAAUAUUCCUCAUCUUCUGGCAACAAAUAUCUACAUAUAUUGUAUCUUGUUCUCCAAGUUGGUAAUAGUCCAGCCUCUAUAGCGUUUUUUU
Molecule: long non-coding RNA, 939 nt
Organism: Folsomia candida
Lineage: Eukaryota; Metazoa; Arthropoda; Collembola; Entomobryomorpha; Isotomidae
Exons: 3
Source: RefSeq, a predicted model, not a curated record